This 443-nucleotide ribosomal RNA is filed under the name uncultured bacterium. Its description in RNAcentral is "partial 16S ribosomal RNA". It matches the Rfam family "Bacterial small subunit ribosomal RNA", at positions 338 to 795 of the family's 1533-position model. The record is from RNAcentral.
CCUACGGGAGGCUGCAGUGGGGGAUAUUGGACAAUGGGGGGAACCCUGAUCCAGCGACGCCGCGUGAGUGAAGAAGUAUUUCGGUAUGUAAAGCUCUGUCAGCAGGGAAGAAAGAAAUGACGGUACCUGACCAAGAAGCCCCGGCUAACUACGUGCCAGCAGCCGCGGUAAUCCGUAGGGGGCAAGCGUUAUCCGGAAUUACUGGGUGUAAAGGGAGCGUAGACGGUUAAGUAAGUCUGGAGUGAAAGGCCGGGGCCAAACCCCGGGACUGCUCUGGAAACUAUUGAGCUUGAGUGCUGGAGAGGUAAGCGGAAUUCCUAGUGUAGCGGUGAAAUGCGUAGAUAUUAGGAGGAACACCAGUGGCGAAGGCGGCUUACUGGACUGUAACUGACGUUGAGGCUCGAAAGCGUGGGGAGCAAACAGGAUUAGAUACCCGUGUAGUC